AAAAAAAAAAAAAAUUUUAGUAUAAAUUUGAGAAAAAAAAUUAAAGUUAGAAAUAUAAAAUUCUCUAUUAUUUAAAAAAGUGUAUUUUUUCAUACAUAUUUUUUUUAUUAUAAAAAAUUAUAAUAAAGAAAAUGAAAUGUGAUGAAAGAGAAAAUAAAUUCAAUAAAAGUUUAAAAAAAAUUUUUAUGUAUUUUUUAUAAAUAUAAAAAUGUAUAUAAGUUUUGUUUAAACUUUUUUAAUUUUUUUUUUAUAGCGCUUUUAUUUUAAAUUUAAAAAAUAUUAUUUAAUAAUUUUGGUUUUUUUCCCUUAUGACAGAAAGAAAAUAAUAUAAAUAAUUAUAUUAACUUUUUUUUUUUUUCUUAUUUUUAUAUGUAAAAUAUUAAUUUUUUUUUUUUUUCUUUAUUAUUUUUAAAAUCCGUUAAUUCCCUUAUAAAAUUAUAAGGGAUUAAAAAAAAUUAAAUAGAAAGAAGAAAUUGAGGAUUUAUUAUUUAUAUUUUAUAAUUUUUAAUUUGUAAGUUUUUUAUAAACAUCUAAAAAAAUUUAUGUAUAAUAUAAAAUAAGUUUUAAUCUUUUUAUUAUAUUUAUUUUAAAUUAUAAUUUUUUUUAUAUAUAUUAUUAAUAUAUGUAAAAAGUUUUUUAAUAUAAAAUUUUUAACAAUUAUAUAAUAAAAUGACAAAAGAAAAAAUAUAGUACUUAUUUUAUUAUAAUUUUUUUCUUUUUGAUUUUUAUAAAUUAUUAUAAAACAGUAAA
This is a non-coding RNA of Plasmodium blacklocki (nom. inval.), 750 nucleotides long. NCBI's taxonomy places the organism in Eukaryota, Apicomplexa, Aconoidasida, Haemosporida, Plasmodiidae. The record is from the annotation of a GenBank genome assembly.